RNAcentral lists this long non-coding RNA (349 nucleotides) under Dasypus novemcinctus (nine-banded armadillo). RNAcentral's name for it is "lncRNA (ENSDNOG00000052854.1)". Lineage: Eukaryota; Metazoa; Chordata; Mammalia; Cingulata; Dasypodidae. The record is from RNAcentral.
CAGCAGCGGUGCCUGACGCGGGACAGAGGUUUGGCUGAAAGCUGCUCUGUUGUUGAAGGUCCUUCAGAGUUUGCAGCCGAGUGGCGGGCGGGGACAGCGCGGGGCGGGGGUGGGGGGGGGGGGGUGGCGGACAGGCCCUCGGCCUGCGCCCAGGGCUCGGCCACUUUGCUCGCGGCCUCUGGAGCUCCAGCUGCGCCCGGUCACCGCUGGCCGCUUGCACACACCCUCGCUGGCUCUCACGCUCAAAUGGGUGGCCUAAAAUGUCAGCUGGUGAUGAUGAAGAUGGUGAUGAUGGCUUCUAGAUCUCUCCCAUCCUGGACACUCUCUUCUGGACAGGCUUCAUGAGGUA